UACAGAGGGUGCAAGCGUUUAAUCGGAAUUAUUGGGCGUAAAGCGCAUGUAGGUGGUUUGUUAAGUUUGAUGUGAAAGCCCUGGGCUUAACCUGGGAAUGGCAUUGGAUACUGGCAGACUAGAGUCAGACAGAGGGUCGUGGAAUUUCCGGUGUAGCGGUGAAAUGCGUAGAGAUCGGAAAGAAUAUCGAUGGCGAAGGCAGCGACCUGGGUUUAGACUGACACUGAGGUGCGAAAGCGUGGGGAGCAAACAGG
RNAcentral lists this ribosomal RNA (254 nucleotides) under uncultured bacterium. Its description in RNAcentral is "partial 16S ribosomal RNA". It matches the Rfam family "Bacterial small subunit ribosomal RNA", at positions 524 to 776 of the family's 1533-position model. The record is from RNAcentral.